This 1512-nucleotide long non-coding RNA is filed under the name Sinocyclocheilus anshuiensis. RNAcentral's name for it is "lncRNA (ENSSANG00000039583.1)". Lineage: Eukaryota; Metazoa; Chordata; Actinopteri; Cypriniformes; Cyprinidae. The record is from RNAcentral.
UGCAAACUGGCCUUUGAAUUAGCCAGUUUUUAUGGAUUGUCUUUUCCAGCACAGUGGGCUACAAAUGGCAUGGCGAGUGAGAGCUGGUUCUCAAACUUCAUGAGAAGGCACCAACACCUUUUAAUAAGAAGGCCUCAGUCCACAAGUUUAAGCGGAGCCACCAGUUUUAAUCCCACAAAUGUGGCAACAUUCUUUGAUAAGCUGGCCACAGACCGGUUGAGGCAUGGGUUCACAGCAAAAGACAUCUGGAACAUGGACGAAACAGGCCUAACAACAGUCCAGAAUCCUGGACAUGUUGUUGCAACCAAGGGAGAGAGAAGAGUUGGGAGUGUAACGUCUGCAGAGAGGGGGGUCCUUGUUACCAUGGCCUUGGCAGGAAAUGCCCUGGAUAACAUUACCCCCCGAAGAAGUAUCUCCCUCAUUUCAUCAGAGGUGGUCCAGAGGGCUCAAUUGGCACAGCCAAUGAUAGUGGCUGUAUGCAGGAGCAGGACUUUGUUGUCUUCCUCCAGCAUUUUGUUCAGUAUACCAGGGCAACAGAAGACAACAAAGUCUUGCUCUUGUUGGACAACCACUCCUCUCAUGUAUCAAUUGAAGCUGUCAACUUCUGUCGGGCGAAUGGCGUGGUUCUAUUGUCUUUCCUCCCACACUGCACACACCAACUGCAGCCUCUGGAUAGAACUGUUUAUGGGCCACUAAAGAAAAACCUAAACAGUGAGAUGGACAAGUGGCACCGGAGGCAUCCUGGAACAACGAUCACCAUCUAUGACCUGCCAGAGAUGGUCAACAACAUCUUGCUCCUGGCAGCGUCACCUCAGAAUGUCAAGAAGGGAUUUCACUGCACUGGGAUCUGGCUGUACAACAAGGACAUCUUCAGUGAAUUCAACUUUCUCCCAGCAUCAGUGACUGACAGACCCCCUAUGGCUCCAUCUCUCCCUGGGCCGUCCACUGCUGCACCUCCAUCUCUCCCUGGGCCGUCCGCUGCUGCACCUCCAUCUCUAUGCUGGCCAUUCACUGCUGCACUGUAUUAUGUCCCAUCCCUGGAUAUUCCUAUGCCAACAGUGACCCUUAACUCAGAUGGUUUUAAAGAAGUUACCCUCACUUUAUUUCCUCUAUCCUUACAAGAGGUAGAAAUCACCAGUGAACAGGAGCAUGUUCCAGAAUUCUUGCCUGAAACUGUAAGUCCAUACCCCAAAGCCAGUCCCCGAAAGGCCAGUGGUCAAAGGCAGAAGACAAGGGCCAGUGAUAUACUCACUGACACACCUGUAAAGAAUGCCCUUGAAGAGGAAAAAAAAGUGUUCCCAAGUGGUCAAAAGGAAAAUCAUAUUACAACAAAAAGCAAAAAAAAAUAAAAAAUACAGAGGACACUCAAUGUCUUGUCGGUGAUUAAUGGUUUUCAACAUCCCGGCCAGGGGAACAAUGGAUCUCUUGCUCCAUCUGUGGCAUGUGGUCGCAUGUAGGAUGCACUGAUGGAGGCCUAAACUACAUUUGCCACAACUGUAAGUGACACAGGUG